UAUACGGAUUUGAUCAGUCAGGAGUUGCACAACGCCAACAUAAGGACUACAGGAGGCAACAAAAAAACAAAGCCCAAGAGAUUGAAAUGGAAGAUUAUCCCAUCCAAGCAGGAGAACCACUCAUUCUUGCAGAGCAGAGUUCUGUUUUCAGGGAACACCAUUCUUAAUUUGUUCCGUCAACAACAGCAGCAGGUUUCGAUGAAGGAAAGCUCAUUCUUUUGCAUGAUAAUGAAACAAUCUGUAUUUUUGUCAGUCCAGUGGCUGCUUAUGCUUAGAAACAGUGGUUUCGUGUAG
This 294-nucleotide long non-coding RNA is filed under the name Oryza sativa Indica Group (long-grained rice). RNAcentral describes it as "lncRNA OsZS97_08G000740". Lineage: Eukaryota; Viridiplantae; Streptophyta; Magnoliopsida; Poales; Poaceae. The record is from RNAcentral.